This 484-nucleotide ribosomal RNA is filed under the name uncultured bacterium. RNAcentral's name for it is "partial 16S ribosomal RNA". It matches the Rfam family "Bacterial small subunit ribosomal RNA", at positions 28 to 523 of the family's 1533-position model. The record is from RNAcentral.
GAUGAACGCUGGCGGCGUGCUUAACACAUGCAAGUCGAACGAUGAAGCCGGAGCUUGCUCUGGUGGAUUAGCGGCGAACGGGUGAGUAACACGUGAGUAACCUGCCCUUGACUCUGGGAUAAGCGCUGGAAACGGCGUCUAAUACCGGAUACGAGCUUCCACCGCAUGGUGAGUUGCUGGAAAGAAUUUCGGUCAAGGAUGGACUCGCGGCCUAUCAGCUUGUUGGUGAGGUAACGGCUCACCAAGGCGACGACGGGUAGCCGGCCUGAGAGGGUGACCGGCCACACUGGGACUGAGACACGGCCCAGACUCCGACGGGAGGCAGCAGUGGGGAAUAUUGCACAAUGGGCGCAAGCCUGAUGCAGCAGCGCCGCGUGAGGGACGAAGGCCUUCGGGUCGUAAACCUCUUUUAGCAGGGAAGAAGCGAAAGUGACGGUACCUGCAGAAAAAGCACCGGCUAACUACGUGCCAGCAGCCGCGGUAA